UGCAGCUAGGGCGGGGCGGACAGGAACGCUUUGGUGGAGAGUUACCCAGAGGGAACCCCACAGACAGCAUUACGAACACCUGGCGUUUGUGAAGAGCUCUUUGCCCGUUCAUACUUUUUUUUUUUUAAAUCUCAUUUGAUUCCCCUCAAUAACCCUGGGUUGUGACAGGGGACAGGGCCCGUGUGAUUAUUCCCAGUUUAUAAAUGCGGAAACUAAGGCUUCAGAGCCUAAUUAACUUGCCAUGGGCCACACAGGUCUCCUGACUUGCAACCGAAAGAUCUUUCGUCAGCGCCAGGCUGGCUCCCUACCUAACAAGGUGUUAGCCUACCUAGCAAGGUGUUAGCCGGAAGGAUGCGCCCCAGGGCAGGGUGGAGAGCUCCGGCUGGAGGAGGACGGGGGAGAGGGCAGAGAAGGACAAGUUACUCCUGCACAGCGCCAGCGAGAAACAGGCAGGAGUGGAGAGGACUUUACUUCGGGUCAGAGAGGACCUAGGCCUGUGGAAUGAUGUACCUAUCCAAUUCCCCUUGGCCCUAAGCUGUCCUGCUGGAAGCUCCAGCAGUCUAAACACUGGGAUGGGUGGGGACGUGUCACCUCUACUCCGGGGAGGGAGAAACAACCUUCACUUUACUCUUCUUCCUCCAGCUCUCUCUGCAGAGCUUCUGACAAAGAGGCUAGAGGUCUGGGUGAGCUUCUCUUUCUUUUUCUGUUGGUCAUCUCUUUACAAAUUGGAAGAUAAACCUUGCCAGAGUUACAAAUUGGGAGGAGAAACAUUCCAAGAGAUCUGAAUAAACUAACCCUAGAGUAUUCCGGCCUUUGAGUAAUCAAUCCAGGAUUAGCAAAGUCAUAAAAAGCACCAUGAAUUUAGUCAGCAAACAUUCAUAGAGCAUCCCCUGUGUGCAAAGCACCGUGCUAGGUGCCUUAGGGAUAGAGAGGUGACUCAACUCUGGUUACAGUCAGGGAGGGAGAGGAGCUAAGCCACUAAUUCCAGUUCAGAGCACAGUUCAGUCAGUGUUCAAUAGAGGUCCAAAGAGAGCGUUUUGGGAGUUUGGAGAGAGGAGGCAUUAAUUCCCACUGUAAGGGCCAAAAAGACUCUAGAGGUUGAAUCUGGGGCCAGCAGAGAAGGAGGAGUCAGAAGAAAAGGAGGAUGGACUAAUAUUUAUUAAGCAACAACAAUAUGUCUGUGCAUCUUAUUGUCACAUAACCGUUUUGAGGAAGAUGUUAUUCUCUCCACUAUAAAGGAGAAAUUCCUACAAGUAGAAUUGCUGGGCCAAAGGAUAAACAUUUUUUCGCUAAGGAUUUCUGAAAUCUGAGUCUUCAGCCCCUGCCUCCCUUCCCAGUUCCAAGCUUACCCCUGUCUACUGGAGAACUCCCCAUGGAUGUUCCUUGGUAUCCACCAGCACCCCAGAUUCAGAACUCCCAGAUCUUAGAGUGAGCUGUCUCCACAGUCUGCUGAACUCUUUGAGGGCAGAAUUGGUAUCUUACUCAUUCUUGUGCCCCAUACCUGGCACAUAGGAGGGACCCCUUGGCUGUCUGUUGGAUAAAGAAAUGGCAAAAUGGCACCCUUUCUCCUCCCAAACCAAUGAGCUUUGCUGAGAGCAGAUCCAGCACAGAAGACAGCCAGAGCCAUGCCGGUUGGCAGACACUUGUCUUUAGCAAAUGUAAUUAAAGGCAGCAGCAAGCAUCCCACCUGAUGAGAAAACAGUCUUCCACUCAACACAGAGGACUGAGGGAAGAGCGCUAAACCUGGGGUCAGAAUACCUGGAGGUUCUACACCAGCUCUACCACUUUCCAGCUGUGUGAUAUCCGACAGGUCACACGUCACCUCUCUGAACUGCAGUCCCAGCAAGGGUAACUGCUCUCCUACCCUUCACGAUUCGUUAUGAGGAUCCGGACAAUGGUGUGAAAUUCCUUUUCAAAUUAUCCACCAUUAUGUAAAAUGGGAAUCAUUCUUGAUAAUAGCGAAUUAAUAAAGUCAUUCUUAAUAAA
Lagenorhynchus albirostris (white-beaked dolphin) is the source of this 1986-nucleotide long non-coding RNA. RefSeq lists it as uncharacterized. NCBI's taxonomy places the organism in Eukaryota, Metazoa, Chordata, Mammalia, Artiodactyla, Delphinidae. The transcript has 5 exons. The record is from RefSeq and is a predicted model, not a curated record.